Molecule: ribosomal RNA, 484 nt
Filed under: uncultured bacterium
Lineage: Bacteria
Description: partial 16S ribosomal RNA
Rfam family: Bacterial small subunit ribosomal RNA
Source: RNAcentral
AUUGAACGCCGGCGGCAGGCCUAACACAUGCAAGUCGAGCGGAUGAAGGGAGCUUGCUCCUGGAUUCAGCGGCGGACGGGUGAGUAAUGCCUAGGAAUCUGCCUGGUAGUGGGGGAUAACGUCCGGAAACGGGCGCUAAUACCGCAUACGUCCUGAGGGAGAAAGUGGGGGAUCCUCGGACCUCACGCUAUCAGAUGAGCCUAGGUCGGAUUAGCUAGUUGGUGGGGUAAAGGCCUACCAAGGCGACGAUCCGUAACUGGUCUGAGAGGAUGAUCAGUCACACUGGAACUGAGACACGGUCCAGACUCCUACGGGAGGCAGCAGUGGGGAAUAUUGGACAAUGGGCGAAAGCCUGAUCCAGCCAUGCCGCGUGUGUGAAGAAGGUCUUCGGAUUGUAAAGCACUUUAAGUUGGGAGGAAGGGCAGUAAGUUAAUACCUUGCUGUUUUGACGUUACCAACAGAAUAAGCACCGGCUAACUUCGUG